CCGGCGGACGGGUGCGUAACGCGUAUGCAACCUGCCUGACACAGGGGGAUAAUCCGAAGAAAUUUGGUCUAAUACCCCAUAAUACCGAUAUAGGCAUCUAUGUUGGUUGAAAGCUUUGGUGGUGUCAGAUGGGCAUGCGUUGUAUUAGCUAGUUGGUGAGGUAACGGCUCACCAAGGCGACGAUACAUAGGGGGACUGAGAGGUUAACCCCCCACACUGGUACUGAGACACGGACCAGACUCCUACGGGAGGCAGCAUG
Molecule: ribosomal RNA, 259 nt
Filed under: uncultured bacterium
Lineage: Bacteria
Description: partial 16S ribosomal RNA
Rfam family: Bacterial small subunit ribosomal RNA
Source: RNAcentral